AGGCGCAGUGCGGAUAACAGAGGACUCAUAAUCCUUUGGUCGUUGGUUCAAGUCCAACACGGCCUACCA
RNAcentral lists this transfer RNA (69 nucleotides) under Aquabacterium sp. RNAcentral's name for it is "tRNA-Met". The record is from RNAcentral. Lineage: Bacteria; Pseudomonadati; Pseudomonadota; Betaproteobacteria; Burkholderiales; Sphaerotilaceae.